UGUGUAGUAACUUACUGUUGGGAGAGAAGCCCCACGGCUACAAAAACCCUGGAAAGAAAACCACAAAACCACACAGAAAAUUAGAUUCAUUCUUCAACAUAUUCUGAAUGAAGCACCUUGUGGAUGCUUUGGAUGCCAACAGGAUAUUGAAGCUCCCUGGUGUUUGCUCAUGACAUGCAAAGGCUAAACAACAAAUGAAAGAAACAUGUACAUGUUGGUAACCGCAUCCUGAGACAGCUUCUGGAUGGAGACAUUGGAUGCGUGCACGGCCAUGUGCCCUUGAGCAGUGCCUGAUCCCCAGCCUGAAUGAAGCUGCUCAGGUGCGAAUGCAUGUAUGUAUGCAACUCGCUUUACAUCUAAACCCCUUCCUCAGGCUAUAGCUGCUGAUGGAAUGUGUUUUCAGUCACCUUACUUUGUGAACAGCUGCGAACCAGCUCGCUUAAAAGCACAGUUUGAUUGUAUAAGCAUUUGGUAAGUCAGUGCAAGUGGUACAAACAGUGAAAAUGGCACAAAUUCACUGAUUGAAAGCUAAUUUCCCUCUGGAUAAAUAAAGUAUCUAUCUAUCUCCAAAAGAAAUAGCAACAAGAUCA
This is a long non-coding RNA of Xiphias gladius (swordfish), 590 nucleotides long. RefSeq lists it as uncharacterized. NCBI's taxonomy places the organism in Eukaryota, Metazoa, Chordata, Actinopteri, Istiophoriformes, Xiphiidae. The transcript has 3 exons. The record is from RefSeq and is a predicted model, not a curated record.